This 67-nucleotide transfer RNA is filed under the name Kofleriaceae bacterium. RNAcentral describes it as "tRNA-OTHER". It matches the Rfam family "tRNA". From Rfam's summary of the family: Transfer RNA (tRNA) molecules are approximately 80 nucleotides in length. Their secondary structure includes four short double-helical elements and three loops (D, anti-codon, and T loops). The record is from RNAcentral. Lineage: Bacteria; Pseudomonadati; Myxococcota; Haliangiales; Kofleriaceae.
GAAUGGCUCAGCGGGAGAGCAUCGGCUUGCAAGCCGAGGGUCAUCGGUUCGAUCCCGAUAUCCUCCA